AAAGAAACUAACAAGGAUUUUCUUAGUAGCGGCGAGCGAAAAGAAAUCAGUUCAGCACUAAGUCACUUUGUCUAUAUGGCAAAUGUGAGAUGCAGUGUAUGGAGCGUCAAUAUUCUAGUAUGAGAAAUUAACGAUUUAAGUCCUUCUUAAAUGAGGCCAUUUACCCAUAGAGGGUGCCAGGCCCGUAUAACGUUAAUGAUUACUAGAUGAUGUUUCCAAAGAGUCGUGUUGCUUGAUAGUGCAGCACUAAGUGGGUGGUAAACUCCAUCUAAAACUAAAUAUAACCAUGAGACCGAUAGUAAACAAGUACCGUGAGGGAAAGUUGAAAAGAACUCUGAAUAGAGAGUUAAACAGUACGUGAAACUGCUUAGAGGUUAAGCCCGAUGAACCUGAAUAUCCAUUAUGGAAAAUUCAUCAUUAAAAUUGUAAUAUUUUAACAAUAUUAUGAUAAUAGUGUGCAUUUUUUCCAUAUAAGGACAUUGUAAUCUAUUAGCAUAUAAAAUUUAUCAUAAAAUAUGGCUUAUAGUUUAUUCCAAUUAAAAUGCUUGCGUUUUAACACAGAAUAAAUGUCAUUAAUUUGAUAAAGUGCUGAUAGAUUUAUAUGAAUACAGUGCGUUAAUUUUUCGGAAUUAUAUAAUGGCAUAAUUAUCAUUGAUUUUUGUGUUUAUUAUAAGCACUUGUACGAUUAACAAUGCGAAAGAUUCAGGAUACCUUCGGGACCCGUCUUGAAACACGGACCAAGGAGUCUAACAUAUGUGCAAGUUAUUGGGAUAUAAACCUAAUAGCGUAAUUAACUUGACUAAUAAUGGGAUUAGUUUUUUAACUAUUUAUAGCUAAUUAACACAAUCCCGGGGCG
This 856-nucleotide ribosomal RNA is filed under the name Drosophila lamottei. RNAcentral's name for it is "eukaryotic LSU rRNA". It matches the Rfam family "Eukaryotic large subunit ribosomal RNA", at positions 58 to 768 of the family's 3401-position model. The record is from RNAcentral. Lineage: Eukaryota; Metazoa; Arthropoda; Insecta; Diptera; Drosophilidae.